UACGGAGGAUGCAAGCGUUAUCCGGAGUGAUUGGGCGUAAAGCGUCCGCAGGUGGCAGUGUAAGUCUGCUGUUAAAGAGUCUAGCUCAACUAGAUACAAGCAGUGGAAACUACAUAGCUAGAGUACGUUCGGGGCAGAUGGAAUUCCUGGUGUAGCGGUGAAAUGCGUAGAGAUCAGGAAGAACACCGGUGGCGAAGGCGCUCUGCUAGGCCGUAACUGACACUGAGGGACGAAAGCUAGGGGAGCGAAUGGG
This 253-nucleotide ribosomal RNA is filed under the name uncultured bacterium. Its description in RNAcentral is "partial 16S ribosomal RNA". It matches the Rfam family "Bacterial small subunit ribosomal RNA", at positions 524 to 776 of the family's 1533-position model. The record is from RNAcentral.